AGGACCCCAAGUCUGUGUGGCGCAGAGUAACUACAAUUCAAGAAGAACAUCUUGGUCUUACUGGCUUGGGGUAUCAGAGGACAACAUUCAGAGCUGCCAAAGUGUCUGGAAAGUGAGGGAAGGAACUUAUCCCAUAAAUACAGGUGCCACAGCAAAGGGAGCCCCCAAAAUCUGCAUUUAAAUUCUUGGUUAACCCUUGAACUGCACACGUAUUGUGGAGACUCCAAGGAACCUAGCAGAAAGCAAAAACUGAAAGGCUAUCAGAACUGAAAGGAGAUAUCCCCAACUUCCGCUCACUAUAGACUAGAAAGUUUGGAGUUUCAAUCCUACCAAAUUAGAGAGGCUUGGUAAACACCCAGGGCUUUCCACAGACCUACAUAAGUGUAAAACUAAGCCCCCACAAUUCAAGUUAAUUAUCUAGUAACUUAACUGACUGCUAGAAUAAAUAUCAACAUACUUCAGAGAAAAACAACAUAAUCUAGAGUCUCUACAAUGUCUCAUCCACAAUUUCUAGUACAUAAUAGAACAUCUGUUAGACAUGUGAAGACAAAAAGGAAUAUGUAACCCAUAGUGAAAAAAAAAUCAGGCAAUAGAAACAGACUAUGAGAUGUCAUAGUUGUUACAACUACGAGAUGACAUAGUUGUUAGAGUUAGCAGACAAGGACUUUAAGGUAGAUGUUUUAAAAUAUGUUCAAGGACUUACAGGAAAAGGUGAUCACAGUGAGUAAACAGAAAGACAAACUCAGGGAAAUGGAAAUUACAAAUAAGAACCAGGUGGACAUUCUAGUCCUGAAAAUUGUAACAUCUGAAAUAACGAAAAUUCACUAAUUGGUUGGACUUAACAGCAGAUUGGUGAUGAGAGAAGAAAAAGUAAAUGAAACAUAAAGAUGAGUCAACAGAAAUAAUCCAAUCUGAAAACAGACCAAAAAAAUGACUUUCAAAAAUUGAAACAGAGUUUCGGUGAUCUUUGGACAAUAUCUAGCAGCCCAAGACAUGUGUGAUUAGAGCCUCUGAAGGAAAUAAGAGAUAAUGAGGCAGGAAAAAAGACUGGGCAAAAAAUGGCUUAAAAAAUCUCCAAAUUUGGUUAAGAAAAAAAAUCAAUUUUCAGACCCCCCAAAAAUCAAAGUACAUAGCUGGGCAUGGCAGCUCACACCUGUAAUCCCAGCACUUUGGGAGGCUGAGGUGGGUGGAUCUCCUGACGUCAGGAGUUUGAGACCAGCCUGGCCAAUAUGGCAAAACCCUGUCUCAACUAAAAAUACAAAAUUAGCUGGCUUGGCGGUGGGAGCCUGUAAUCCCAGGUACUCAGAAGACUGAGGCAGGAAACUAGCUUGAACCCGGGAGGCGGAGGUUGUAGUGAGUGAAGGUUGCGCUGAGACACGAAGCCAGCUGGACUUCUUGGGUGGAGUGGGGACUCGGAGAACUUUUCUGUCUUACAAGAGGAUUCACUCUGUAGCUAGGAUUGUAAAACACACCAAUCAGCACUCUGUAGCUAGCAAGAGAAUUGUAAAAUGCACCAAUCAGUGCUCUGUAAAAUGCACCAAUCAGUGCUCUGUAAAAUGCACCAAUCAGCGCUCUGUAAACGCACCAAUCAGCAAGAGUCUAAAAGUAGCCAAUCGCGGGGAGGAUUGAAAAAAGGGCACUCUGAUAGGACAGAAACAGGACAUGGGCGGGGACAAACAAGGGAAUAAAAGCUGGCCACCACAGCCAGCAGCAGCAACUGGCCCAGGUGCCGUUCCCUGCUGUGAAGGUUUGUUCUUUCUGUCUUCACAAUAAAUCUUGCUGCUGCUCACUUUUUGGGUCUGUGCCACCUUUAAGAGCCUGUAACAUUCACCCUGAAGGUCGGUGGCUUCAUUCUUGAAGUCAGUGAGACCAGGAACCCACCGGCAGGAACCAACUCCGGACACAGCGCCACUGCACUCCAGCAUGGGCGACAGAGCAAGACUCAGUAAAUAAAUAAAACAAAAAAAGCAUGCACGCACAAAGCAACAAAAACGUUUCAAAGAACAUCUUGAAAUCAGCCGGGAAGGAGAAAAACACACCAAACGAUGAUAUAAUUGAUGAUGAUCUUCUGAUAACAAAAAACAGGCUUUAAAACAAGGGAAUGGGAUCCGUAAGAUUUAAGAGUGAGAGAGAGAAUAAAACUUCUGAAAACAUUUCUGUUUUAUACCAACGAAAAUACCAUUUUAAAAUGAGGGUCAAGUAAUGCCAUUUGCAGAUAAAUGAAAGAUGAAUUUGUUACCAGCAGAGCUACAUUAAGACAAAUGAUAAAGAAGUUCUUUUGGCCAAAGGAAACUGACAUCAUAUGAAUUUGAGACACAGAGAAGAAAAAAUAACAUAGGAAACGUUAAAUAUGUGGUUUGAUCUCAUCACAGUGACCAAAAUGCUCAAAAUCCAGCAAUGGCUCUCAUUUUCACUCGAGUAAAAGCCGAAGUCCUGACAAUUGCCUCUGAGGUUCCGCGUGAUCAUCUGCCCAGACACAGCCCCAUCCUUGCUUCUCUGACUUCAUAGCCCACUGCUCCCCUCUUCCUCACAUAGCUCCAGCCACACUGCUCUCCUAGCACGCUUCUGCCUCAGGGCCUUUGCUCCACCUCAUUUAUCUUUCUGGAAACUCUUGUCUCAUAUAUCUGCUUAGCUUCCUCCCUAAGUUUCUUCAAGUCACCUUUUCAGUGAGGUCCAAAGUGACUUCUCUAUUAAUAAUAAUAAUAAAAAAAAUCUGCUUCACACCUUGCUGAUCUAUUUUGCCCUGUUUUUUUUAAAAAGGCACUUUUGAUAUAUUAUACUAUAAAAUUGAUAUAUUUACAA
Molecule: long non-coding RNA, 2802 nt
Filed under: Homo sapiens (human)
Lineage: Eukaryota; Metazoa; Chordata; Mammalia; Primates; Hominidae
Description: HSALNT0304148
Source: RNAcentral